GGGUUGUGAGGUUAAGCGACUAAGCGUACACGGUGGAUGCCCUGGCAGUCAGAGGCGAUGAAGGACGUGCUAAUCUGCGAUAAGCGUCGGUAAGGUGAUAUGAACCGUUAUAACCGGCGAUUUCCGAAUGGGGAAACCCAGUGUGAUUCGUCACACUAUCAUUAACUGAAUCCAUAGGUUAAUGAGGCGAACCGGGGGAACUGAAACAUCUAAGUACCCCGAGGAAAAGAAAUCAACCGAGAUUCCCCCAGUAGCGGCGAGCGAACGGGGAGGAGCCCAGAGCCUGAAUCAGUGUGUGUGUUAGUGGAAGCGUCUGGAAAGGCGCGCGAUACAGGGUGACAGCCCCGUACACAAAAAUGCACAUGCUGUGAGCUCGAUGAGUAGGGCGGGACACGUGGUAUCCUGUCUGAAUAUGGGGGGACCAUCCUCCAAGGCUAAAUACUCCUGACUGACCGAUAGUGAACCAGUACCGUGAGGGAAAGGCGAAAAGAA
This 492-nucleotide ribosomal RNA is filed under the name Escherichia coli. RNAcentral's name for it is "bacterial LSU rRNA". It matches the Rfam family "Bacterial large subunit ribosomal RNA", at positions 1 to 523 of the family's 2925-position model. Lineage: Bacteria; Pseudomonadati; Pseudomonadota; Gammaproteobacteria; Enterobacterales; Enterobacteriaceae. The record is from RNAcentral.